UUUUGUCUCUUAGCCAAGAAAUAGUUUUUCUCCUGGUGCGCCUGUCAACUUAUACAACACAAGUAGAUGUACACAAAGAGAACCCAGAAAUAAUGCCACCCCCACAUCGUCAUCUCGAUUUAUAUCCCAUACAGGAGCAUGUACUGGUUCACCAUCUGUGAAUAAUAAUAUUCGAUUAAAACUUACAGACUGCCUGAAUCAAAAUGUAAUUUCGAACAAUGUGAAUCAACCUAUUAAACUACAAAUUAAUCAGAAGAAAUCGUCCGAUAGACAACCUCUAGUCAUCCCAACCAGUUAUCAAUCUAUGACUCAACCAAUCAGUUGUAGAUCUUUA
Molecule: long non-coding RNA, 334 nt
Organism: Formica exsecta
Lineage: Eukaryota; Metazoa; Arthropoda; Insecta; Hymenoptera; Formicidae
Exons: 2
Source: RefSeq, a predicted model, not a curated record